UUAUUUAAGGCGCCACACAAUCCGUUAAUUCGCAACGGGCACUGAUUGUGAAGUGAUGUUGGAAACAAGAGUUCAUACAAUAACGAAAAUUUAACAACACAAAGAUAUGGAAAGGAAAUAAAGAAACUCAAUAGAUGCAGUCAACUUCGAAAAGGUAUGAGUUGGAUGAUCUUCAGCAGCUUCCUUCGAGAUGGUAUGGUAAGGAGUGGAUAUCCAGUGGUAUUGAAGUUAUUAAAAUGUGCUCAGAAUUUUAGGACCAAGAAUUUCAUUACCAAAAUGGUUCCCCCAAA
This is a long non-coding RNA of Onthophagus taurus, 290 nucleotides long. RefSeq lists it as uncharacterized. The record is from RefSeq and is a predicted model, not a curated record. Lineage: Eukaryota; Metazoa; Arthropoda; Insecta; Coleoptera; Scarabaeidae.